CCUACGGGCGGCAGCAGUGAGGAAUAUUGGUCAAUGGACGAGAGUCUGAACCAGCCAAGUAGCGUGAAGGAUGACUGCCCUAUGGGUUGUAAACUUCUUUUAUAUGGGAAUAAAAUGUUCCACGUGUGGGAUUUUGUAUGUACCAUAUGAAUAAGGAUCGGCUAACUCCGUGCCAGCAGCCGCGGUAAUACGGAGGAUCCGAGCGUUAUCCGGAUUUAUUGGGUUUAAAGGGAGCGCAGGUGGAUUGUUAAGUCAGUUGUGAAAGUUUGCGGCUCAACCGUAAAAUUGCAGUUGAAACUGGCAGUCGUGAGUACAGUAGAGGUAGGCGGAAUGCGUGGUGUAGCGGUGAAAUGCUUAGAUAUCACGAAGAACUCCGAUUGCGAAGGCAGCUCACUGGACUGCAACUGACACUGAGGCUCGAAAGUGUGGGUAUCAAACAGGAUUAGAUACCCGAGUAGUC
Molecule: ribosomal RNA, 460 nt
Filed under: uncultured bacterium
Lineage: Bacteria
Description: partial 16S ribosomal RNA
Rfam family: Bacterial small subunit ribosomal RNA
Source: RNAcentral